Molecule: ribosomal RNA, 425 nt
Filed under: uncultured bacterium
Lineage: Bacteria
Description: partial 16S ribosomal RNA
Rfam family: Bacterial small subunit ribosomal RNA
Source: RNAcentral
GUGGGGAAUCUUGCGCAAUGGGCGAAAGCCUGACGCAGCCAUGCCGCGUGAAUGAUGAAGGUCUUAGGAUUGUAAAAUUCUUUCACCGGGGACGAUAAUGACGGUACCCGGAGAAGAAGCUCCGGCUAACUUCGUGCCAGCAGCCGCGGUAAUACGAAGGGGGCUAGCGUUGCUCGGAAUUACUGGGCGUAAAGGGCGCGUAGGCGGACAGCUUAGUCAGAGGUGAAAGCUCAGGGCUAAACAUUGGGAUUGCCUUGGCAACUGGCUGUCUUGAGUUUGGGAGAGAUGAGUGGAACUCCGAGUGUGGAGGUGAAAUUCGAAGAUAUUCGGAAGAACACCAGUGGCGAAGGCGACUCACUGGCCCAAUACUGACGCUGAGGCGCGAAAGCGUGGGGAGCAAACAGGAUUAGAUACCCCUGUAGUCC